Molecule: ribosomal RNA, 875 nt
Filed under: Microcyclosporella sp. CBS 119461
Lineage: Eukaryota; Fungi; Ascomycota; Dothideomycetes; Mycosphaerellales; Mycosphaerellaceae
Description: eukaryotic LSU rRNA
Rfam family: Eukaryotic large subunit ribosomal RNA
Source: RNAcentral
CUUAAGCAUAUCAAUAAGCGGAGGAAAAGAAACCAACAGGGAUUGCCCUAGUAACGGCGAGUGAAGCGGCAACAGCUCAAAUUUGAAAUCUGGCGCAAGCCCGAGUUGUAAUUUGUAGAGGAUGCUUCUGGGCAGCGGCCGGUCUAAGUUCCUUGGAACAGGACGUCACAGAGGGUGAGAAUCCCGUAUGUGACCGGCGCGCACCCUCCACGUAGCUCCUUCGACGAGUCGAGUUGUUUGGGAAUGCAGCUCUAAAUGGGAGGUAAAUUUCUUCUAAAGCUAAAUACCGGCCAGAGACCGAUAGCGCACAAGUAGAGUGAUCGAAAGAUGAAAAGCACUUUGGAAAGAGAGUUAAAAAGCACGUGAAAUUGUUGAAAGGGAAGCGCUUGCAACCAGACCCCGUGGCGGUGUUCCGCCGGUCUUCUGACCGGUCCACUCGCCGCCGCGGGGCCAACAUCGUCUGGGGCCGCCGGACAAGACUGGAGGAAUGUGGCUCCCUCGGGAGUGUUAUAGCCCUCAGUGAUGCGGCGUGCCCCGGGCGAGGUCCGCGCUUCGGCAAGGAUGUUGGCGUAAUGGUUGCCAGCGGCCCGUCUUGAAACACGGACCAAGGAGUCUAACAUCUAUGCGAGUGUUCGGGUGUCAAACCCCUACGCGUAAUGAAAGUGAACGGAGGUGGGAGCUUCGGCGCACCAUCGACCGAUCCUGAUGUCCUCGGAUGGAUUUGAGUAAGAGCAUAGCUGUUGGGACCCGAAAGAUGGUGAACUAUGCCUGAAUAGGGUGAAGCCAGAGGAAACUCUGGUGGAGGCUCGCAGCGGUUCUGACGUGCAAAUCGAUCGUCAAAUUUGGGUAUAGGGGCGAAAGACUAAUCGAACCAU